CUUACUGACGCCAAGUACAAGGUCUAUCAGCCCUUUAAAGAUGAAGACAGGCUUGAAUACCUAGGUCUGAGAUGAGACCAUGUGAGUAGCUGAACCAUCUUAACGGGGAAAUAAGUUAUUCUAAAAGGAGCCCUUGGUAGGCGGCGUGGCUGGAGAGCAGCCGAAGAUUUAAGUCGUGGAUGGCGAGGGGGGCGGCGGGAGUGGACGCACCUCGCAAUAUCGAUCGGACCCUGAAAGCACCGUCUCCACCUCCCCACACCCCCCCAUCCACCCGCCCCGACGCCAAACGUUUGACUGCUAAAUCACCAGCCGGUCUGCGAGCUGGACGCAUUGGUCUUAAUCUGCCGGUAACGAUGGUAAAUGAUGGUUGUAGCUGGUUGUCAUCUACGGUCCACUACGGUUACAUAAAGGUGUCGUUUGUGUUUUGACAACGUUUUAUCUCACAAUUUCGACUUUCUAUCCCCUUUCUUCAGUGCGGAAAUGGGCUUCUAUAGUUGUGUGAAUGCAUCGCUCCAGCCAAUCCAAAGACGGGGUUUGUAACCAAUCAGGUGUAGAGACCAGUGUGACUGGCUCCGCCCCCUCACUGUCAGAAAGAACAACAGCGAGCGCGUAGAAAACUCCUUCGAGCGCGACCAGAGAUUCUCCUCGCGAGCAACGAAGUUCACGUUUCGCAAGCGAGCAAAUACCUCGCUCGAGGCAAACUUUUGCUUGCGGGAGACGGACUUUCGCUGCCAGAUGUUUGAUUUACGCUCGCGCAUCAACCUGAUUUGCGCUCUCGAAUUUUGACAGUGAUUUGCGCUGAUAGACUGCAGUAUCUUAUGCGCCUUAUUGUGCGGAAAACACGGCACAUGAGCUCCGGAGAAAAUGGUAUACAAAACAUACAUAGUCGGUUAAUACAUUUUGAAUCAAAAUUAAAUUCUUAUGGUCAUUUAAUCAUCCCUAGUUUAUGUUUUGAUCAGAGUUGUGAUUAAAGAUUUUCAGAUUUCAAAGUGGGCCACGGCAUUCUUGAGUUUGGGAACCGCUGUUCUACAGUUAAUCUUACAUAGUAUAAAGAUAUUCUUAAAUUGUGAAGCAGUGUCAAAUAAAAAUUUGAAUGGCGCUGUUAAGAGAUUUUCUUAUUUUAUCUCCGUUUAUUACUGGUUUAAAUGGCUAUAGAAUGUUUUCUGAUCGUGCUUGUUCUAUAAAUAAAGAUAAUUAUCCUGAUAGCCUUCUUUGAUCAUUUCAGUAAGAAAAUAUGCAUCGGCGAGGACUCUUAAAUCAGAAGGAUAAUGGCAAAUUUUACAUUGAUACUGGAGGGGACAAAGUGGGACUUGACGUCAAAUAUGUCAAAGCCUUAAGUAAGUUGAAUGUUUGGAUUUUGUAAUCCUAAUUAAAAUAUGAAUAAGCUUGACAGAUGUUUUUUCUGUCUGUGUAUGAAAUAGGUCGCGGCAUCUUCACCUCGGCUCCAUUUGAUAAAGGAGAAGAAUAUAGAGGUUAACUAAUAAACCAUAAAGAAUGUCAGAGGAGACAGACUUUUUCUCCUUUACUGCGAAUGAGCUGACAUUCUAGCAAGGUAAAGUUCUCCUAAAGGAAAUGAUUUUACAAAUUGAUUUUUCAAUAUGACAAUGGUUUUUGUUGGUUGAUGGGGAACAAAAGACAUGCUGCUACAAUGAAAUAUCAAACUUGUUCUGUAUUGACUAUUCAGUUUUUACUUGAUCCCUUUGGUUUGAUGUUUAUCGUUAAUAUCUUCAGAAAUAUUAAGGAAAGUCUUUUGAUGAUAAAUUAAAUUUGAAAAUAAAGUGAAAUUUGUGUUUUAGAAGGAAGCGUGUCGUCCAGUAGAUGAGAGCUACCCUCUCUCUGAAGGUAUGCCAAGUUUGAUGGUAGAGCAUCUUUUUAAAGUACUUAAAUUGGACACAAAAUGGCACUGCUACAAGGUAUAGAAGAAAGAAGGCAAAACAAUAAUUAUUUUUGUGUGAUCGUUUAUGUCUACUUCGUGUAUCUUCCAGGAAAAAAUGGUGGGUCCAGAAGAGGGACAAAGAGAGCGUGGUCUAAAGUUGAGGUUCAAGCAGUAAUGCGGCACUUCAAAGACCCAUAUUCGUAAAGGUCACCUGGCCACCAAGAACGAAUGCAGUCACUGCAAGUUGGUGGAAGGACCCGUCUUGGAACAAAGAACUGUGCAAAAUGUCAGAGAGUUCGUCCGUAAUCGGAACAGCUGAAAAAAGACUGUAAACAAACAUACACUUAUUUUAUUUGUUCUACAUCCUUUUAUCCCACGGCACGGGCAGUCUUCUAAUCUGUUGACAUACAAAGGUAUACAAGCACAUGUCAUUCACCUCAUCAUAAUGUAAUAAUACUCUAAUACUGUCAAGAGACGUCAUAAAUUCUUAAUGGCUGAAAUCUUCAAGUUUGUACACGUUUUCCCCUUCAUUGUCUUGAGGUAAGUUUCCAUAGUGCGGUGAAAGAAAUGUUCAUUAUGUAUGUCUUGCCCAUCGCUCUGUCGUUCUUUUCGGUUGUUUGUUAAACAGGACUUGUUUUACAAAAGCACUAGUCUGGCUCCUCAGUUUGUAUGAUAAACGGACUAUAGUGCUUUUGUAUGAAACAAUUGUUUACAAAAGCACUAUCGUCCGUUUGUAUGAAACAAUUGUUUACAAAAGCGCACUAGUCUGGUUCCUUGUGUCCUGAGUGGGACAGUAGUAAAAAAAUAACCCCAGCUCGUUGUUAAAUGAAAGCCAGAGAUUGAAGCCAGGUUGUAGAGGCACUCGCUGAUUCCCUCUGCAUAGAUGGAUCUUUAGAUAGUAUAGAUCGAUUUCUACACAUACUGUCACUUUGGAGGGGCCUAAUUUGGCCAUCCGUUAACAUUAUUUUUUAUAUUAAAUUGAUGGUUCCAGUAAUGCUGUGUCCUGUCUGUGUGUAUUUAUGUUAAUGAGGUGGGCGGGAUCAUUGUCCCUUCAAAGACCCAACAGUGUUUUUUUGGUCCUUAUAAGUCAUACUUUGGUCAAAAUAGAAAUGUCUACCUAUACCACAGUAUAAUUAGGUUGCUGUGUAUGAGGUUGUGUAGUUUGUAUCUGAAAUCUAAAGUGAGCUGAGUGACUACAACCGGGCCUGUAUGGCGAAAAGUCCACCUAAUGCAUACCUGUGUGUGUGUGUGUGUGUGUGUGUGUGUG
Molecule: long non-coding RNA, 3143 nt
Organism: Gasterosteus aculeatus aculeatus (three-spined stickleback)
Lineage: Eukaryota; Metazoa; Chordata; Actinopteri; Perciformes; Gasterosteidae
Source: Ensembl